RNAcentral lists this ribosomal RNA (450 nucleotides) under uncultured bacterium. RNAcentral describes it as "bacterial SSU rRNA". It matches the Rfam family "Bacterial small subunit ribosomal RNA", at positions 354 to 796 of the family's 1533-position model. The record is from RNAcentral.
GUGGGGAAUUUUGGACAAUGGGCGCAAGCCUGAUCCAGCAAUGCCGCGUGCAGGAAGAAGGCCUUCGGGUUGUAAACUGCUUUUGUACGGAACGAAACGGUCCGGGUUAAUACCCUGGGCUAAUGACGGUACCGUAAGAAUAAGCACCGGCUAACUACGUGCCAGCAGCCGCGGUAAUACGUAGGGUGCAAGCGUUAAUCGGAAUUACUGGGCGUAAAGCGUGCGCAGGCGGCUUUGUAAGACAGGCGUGAAAUCCCCGGGCUCAACCUGGGAAUUGCGCUUGUGACUGCAAGGCUGGAGUGCGGCAGAGGGGGAUGGAAUUCAGCGUGUAGCAGUGAAAUGCGUAGAUAUGCGGAGGAACACCGAUGGCGAAGGCAAUCCCCUGGGCCUGCACUGACGCUCAUGCACGACAGCGUGGAGAGCAAACAGGAUUAGAAACCCUAGUAGUCC